UACGUAGGGUGCGAGCGUUAAUCGGAAUUACUGGGCGUAAAGCGUGCGUAGUCGGCAAUUUAAGUCGGGUGUGAAAUCCCCGGGCUCAACCUGGGAAUGGCGAUGGAGACUGCAAGGCUAGAAUCUGGCAGAGGGGGGUAGAAUUCCACGUGUAGCAGUGAAAUGCGUAGAUAUGUGGAGGAACACCGAUGGCGAAGGCAGCCCCCUGGGCUAAGAUUGACGCUCAUGCACGAAAGCGUGGGGAGCAAACAGG
RNAcentral lists this ribosomal RNA (253 nucleotides) under uncultured bacterium. RNAcentral describes it as "partial 16S ribosomal RNA". It matches the Rfam family "Bacterial small subunit ribosomal RNA", at positions 524 to 776 of the family's 1533-position model. The record is from RNAcentral.